CCUUGAAAUACCACCCUUUAAUGUUUGAUGUUCUAACGUGGACCCGUGAUCCGGGUUGCGGACAGUGUCUGGUGGGUAGUUUGACUGGGGCGGUCUCCUCCUAAAGAGUAACGGAGGAGCACGAAGGUUGGCUAAUCCUGGUCGGACAUCAGGAGGUUAGUGCAAUGGCAUAAGCCAGCUUGACUGCGAGCGUGACGGCGCGAGCAGGUGCGAAAGCAGGUCAUAGUGAUCCGGUGGUUCUGAAUGGAAGGGCCAUCGCUCAACGGAUAAAAGGUACUCCGGGGAUAACAGGCUGAUACCGCCCAAGAGUUCAUAUCGACGGCGGUGUUUGGCACCUCGAUGUCGGCUCAUCACAUCCUGGGGCUGAAGUAGGUCCCAAGGGUAUGGCUGUUCGCCAUUUAAAGUGGUACGCGAGCUGGGUUUAGAACGUCGUGAGACAGUUCGGUCCCUAUCUGCCGUGGGCGCUGGAGAACUGAGGGGGGCUGCUCCUAGUACGAGAGGACCGGAGUGGACGCAUCACUGGUGUUCGGGUUGUCAUGCCAAUGGCACUGCCCGGUAGCUAAAUGCGGAAGAGAUAAGUGCUGAAAGCAUCUAAGCACGAAACUUGCCCCGAGA
This 615-nucleotide ribosomal RNA is filed under the name Salmonella enterica. Its description in RNAcentral is "partial 23S ribosomal RNA". It matches the Rfam family "Bacterial large subunit ribosomal RNA", at positions 2190 to 2804 of the family's 2925-position model. The record is from RNAcentral. RNAcentral also lists the same sequence under 3 other names. Lineage: Bacteria; Pseudomonadati; Pseudomonadota; Gammaproteobacteria; Enterobacterales; Enterobacteriaceae.